Molecule: non-coding RNA, 236 nt
Filed under: Faecalibaculum rodentium
Lineage: Bacteria; Bacillati; Bacillota; Erysipelotrichia; Erysipelotrichales; Erysipelotrichaceae
Description: T-box sequence
Rfam family: T-box leader
About the family: Uncharged tRNA acts as the effector for transcription antitermination of genes in the T-box leader family. T-boxes are found upstream of many aminoacyl-tRNA synthetase genes and some amino acid biosynthetic genes usually in Gram-positive bacteria.
Source: RNAcentral
AAAGUGAUGCGGAAAGGAAGAGUAGUUCCUCUGAAGGCUGCAGAGAGUGUCCGGCUGGUGAAAGGACAUGCGGGAAGCGGAACGAACAUGGUCCUGGAGUCGCGUGGCCAAGCGUAAUGGAUGAGGCCAUGACGGGGGCGCCCGUUACAGCGCAAGGGUAUGUCAGUACCUGAUGAGGCAGAGCCUGUGAGGACUCUGUGAAGAUAGGUGGUAACACGAGCACUCUCGUCCUGUUG